Molecule: unclassified non-coding RNA, 303 nt
Filed under: Hevea brasiliensis (rubber tree)
Lineage: Eukaryota; Viridiplantae; Streptophyta; Magnoliopsida; Malpighiales; Euphorbiaceae
Source: RNAcentral
AAAAAACUGUCUAUUCAUCGACGUAGCUUGCAUAUUGGAGUUUGGAGAAUUACAUUGGAGAACAUGUUUUCAUCACUAAAAUUUAUAAAAAUUCUCUAACAUGAUGCAUUCUUCAAUAUUCUUUAGAUAGUUCUUUUCUUGGAAAAAAUAUGGAUUUGGAUGGAGUCGUGAAUUAUACAUUCUGAUGUAGGAUAAGCAUACCAAUGUAGUAGAACCAGGAAGAAACCACGAUCAAGAGAAACAAAUUCUCUGGCAAAAAAAUAUAAUUCUCUAGAGAAACAAAUUUUUUUUUUUUUAUUAUUG